Ciona intestinalis (vase tunicate) is the source of this 4211-nucleotide non-coding RNA. The record is from RefSeq and is a predicted model, not a curated record. NCBI's taxonomy places the organism in Eukaryota, Metazoa, Chordata, Ascidiacea, Phlebobranchia, Cionidae.
UAAGGUCGCGUGUGACUGACAGCUUCAUGAUCGUCACGUUGGAGUAAAUGCGUAAGUUCUGGAUCUUCAUCUCCACUGUGAUGUAAUAAUUUGUAAUAUUCGUAUGAGUUUAUGUUUCUCUUGUAUCUGCCAACAACAUCGUACAUCGUUCUACGAUUCGCCUUUAGUGGAAUGAAAACAACGCAUCACAAUGCCUAAGAAUUCGAUAAAAAAUAUCAAGCUAUUCUGGGAUGGUAUAUACAAAACAGCUUUGCCAAUAUAUUACAUUGGGCUUCUUCUUUCUAAUGUUGGAUGGGACUCAUACUACAGGAAGCAACCCCAGUUGGUGUGUGUUGAUUUGAACAACAACAAUCGACAGAAAAGCCAACUUUCCUUUGUAGAAAUUCUCAUGUUAAAGUUAUCCACAAUGGAAAAGGAAACAGAUGUGAAUGCCUGUUUUCCCUGUGAGCCUACAGUGUACAUUGUGCGUGAUGCAGUUUACCGAUCUUGUGAAGAAUUCAUCUAUGUUGCUGGUUGCUCCAACUUCAAAACUUGUGUCCAUCUUUGUUCUGAGGAGUUUAAAGAUCGAAGUAAAGAUGCUUACCUCCAUCUUUUACUAUCUUCUGCAGUGGAACAGGGGGAGACAUCAAGAUCAAAAACCAUCCCAUUCAAAAAUCUUCUUGCAGCAAAUUUUGUUGUAAAUCACCUUCCAGAUUCUUCUUUUUACAGAGUUUUGGAAUCCACAUCAAACAAUCUUCUCAAAUACCAAGAAUUUCUUGAAUUUUGUUGUUAUCUUCUCAACCGAAACAACUUCCAUUGUGCGUUUGCUCUUUCUUUGUCCAACCAAAUUGAUCCAAUAUUAUUGGAGAAGAAAAGAAAGCAAGCCGUGUAUUUUCUUCGAAACCAAUUAAAUCAUAAAAGUCCAAAAAACAAUCAAGAGUUGGAAGUAUUAAAUGAAUGCACAAAACUAAUUGGCAGUGCUGAAUUGAACAAAAUGACAAAUAACCAACGAAAUGUGAUCAAUUUAAAAUCUGUUCGUGUUUUCUGCUUUCCAAAUGAGCAAAACAUUAAGGAUGAUGGAUCUGUUGUUAACAGUGCUAAAGACCCCCCUGGUCAGCGCAGCUUCUACAUUCCACCGGGUGAUUCUGCAAUGGAAUCUUACAGACUCAGCACGUUCAUGAAAUAUCCACAAGAUACUCCAGUUAAUCCAAGACAUCUGGCAACUGCUGGUUUAUACUUUACUGGGUAUAAGGAUAGGGUGAAAUGCUUUUGUUGUGGACUCGCAACGGAGCAAUGGCAGUUUGGUGACGACGAGAAAUCUCCUCGGUGGCACAGAAGCAAUUGUGAAUUCAUUCAAGGGCACGAUUGUGGAAAUAUCCCAAUAGGUUCAUGGGGUUGGAUCCGACCAGAUAACACAGCCAGGGCCCAACCACCACAACCACAGCAACAUAAUAACAUUGUUGCCGGGAAAGCAACUUCCCUUCAAGGAUCUUUUAGUCCUCCAUUGGGAAUUCCAAUGCAAACUGCCACAGUUGUUCAACAACGCCGUACCCCUACUUUCCAGAGAAUUGAGUUGGCUACGAUUUCAUCUGUGUAUCAUGAACAAGUGCUUCGUAGUUUGGAUCUCAAGAAAGAAGGGGAAAGAAUGAAAUCAUUUGAAAACUGGCCGACACAAAAUCGAACUGUAAAUCCGAGUGAUUUGGCUCGUUCCGGCUUUUUUUACCUCGGUAAUUUAGAUCGAGUUCAGUGUUUCUCAUGUGGAGGAGUGUUGCGCAACUGGAAUUAUGGGGAUAAUAUUACAGCUGAACACAGGAGACACUUCCCACAUUGCAGAAUGACUCAAGGAACGGAGAGCAAUAACGUUCCUUCAUCCUCACCACCGGAGGCCAGCAACGCUCCACGACGAAACAUACAGGAACCUCCCGACCCCUCGGAAUCUGAGCAGCGUGAAUUAGAAAUGAUGUUUCCGUGCCAACAUCCCGUGAAUUCUCACAUGAGACAUCUUGAUUCACGAAUUGUGACUUUUGAUUCACGCUGGCCGAAGAAUAAAACACAAGCUACCAUUCAACAAAUCGCAAAAGCUGGCUUCUUUUACCUUGGUGAACGAGACCGUGUAAAGUGCUGGUAUUGUAACGGAGGUUUACAGAACUGGGAUCCAGAUGAUGAACCAUGGACUGAACACGCAAAGUGGUUUCCAACCUGUGAAUUCCUGAUUCGAUCGAAGGGCCCGGACUUUGUCCACCACAUGGUGUCUCUCUACCCCAAUCUUCCACGACCAAUCCUCCAAACAGCACAAGGAGCAAACGGAAGUCAAUCGUCUGGAACAUCAUCUGCUCCCAUUAUCAUUGAUCCUCAGGUUGAGAAGCGAAAGUUAAGAGAGAAAUUAAACCUUGAAAUGGAUCGAGAUAUCGUGAAGUGUGUCAAUGAUAUGGGAUUUGAGUUGAAACAUAUUCGCCUGUGUGUUAAAAGAAAACUUGAAAAAGAAAACAUCGGAUUCUCAUCUGCUCAGCAACUCAUCGAUGAAAUAUUGAAGUUGAAUCUUGAUGAGGAAGAAGAGGAAGAAUUGGAUUUGGAAACCGAUCCCAAGGAGCCUGCUGCCAUGGAAACGGAAGGUGGGAAGUUAUAUCAUGUUUUAUAGAUCUGAUGAAAGAAUCGUCCUGUUAUAUGAACACCAGAUCAGGGUUAGGUUGGUAGAAUUUGUUGCAGUUAUGUUUUAAGCUUUCUGCAUUAGGUAGACAUCUUAGGAGGUCAAACCUAGCAAUUUUAAACGGUAUCUGGACCAAAGGUGUACUAUAAACAUAAGGUUAAAAUUAGAUCUGUAAAAGUAUAUCUUUCUUUUGAUGUCAAACUGCUGGAGACACAAUUCUGCUCUGUAAUAACAAGCCCUACUGAAACACAAAGCAGAUCAGUACACCGCAUCAGGAUGUUAUUGAGCACAUCUUACAAUGUCAAUGCAAGAUAGAUUACUUGAGCUACAAAACGAAAGGAAAUGCAAAAUUUGUGUCGACAAGUUAAGUGAUAUUGUGUUUGUACCUUGCGGUCACUUGUGUGUCUGCCAAGCGUGUAAAAGCAAAGUGACACGCUGUCCAAUAUGUAAAAGUAAGGUGGAGAAAUCCAUCAGAACAUACAUGUCAUGAACAACCUUGCAGGUGCAAUACUACUGUGUAUUGAAUGCGCAAAACUUUGAUUGGCAGUCAAUACUUAGUUGCAUUCUGCACAGCAUUGUAUUGUAAGCAUUGAAAAACAUUUGCAACAGUGCAAAACUUAAUGUGUAUGCGAUAGACAUACACAUUAUUCCCUUCAAGAGAUUUCAAGCUGUAAAGAAAAAACAGAUUUCCACAAAAAUUAUUUCGUUUAAUCUUCUUACCACUAAAGUCAUAUAAUUCCUUCUAUUUUUUGCUAUUCUGUUAAUGUGUUUAGCUCAUGCUUCUGCCAUGUAACUAAAUACGUUGCCUAUAAUUUUAUGCACUAAUAUUUUCAUGGUUAUGUUCAAAAGUCUCAUUUUUAUGCCUUGUAAAUAUAAAUGUUUUUUAUUGUGUCUUAAUUUUAAUAGCUCUUUCAAUUUAUAAUCCAAAUAUUGUUACAGGUAUAAUAAUUAGAUAUAUAUGAUUGCUGUAUGCAAUCUAAUAGAGAACAAUUUUUCAAGUAGCAGUGCUUUUUCAUUGCAGUUUUAUAAUAAUUGGGGGCAGAAGUAGUUUGAGAAAUGACUAAAAAUGUUAUUUAGUUUCCAUUAAAAAUUUAUAGAAAUGUGACUUAAAACUUAUACAACUUGUUUUUUUCAGCUUUAAUAAUUACUUUUACUUUCUAUUUUUACUUUAUCAUAGUUUUAUCUAUUGGGUGAUUUAAUUGUGUGUAGAAAAGUAGUUGCGGUGAGAUUAAAUAUAUGUAAAUCAAAAACAAUUAAACCGUAGACAUGUUUUAGGCAGCACUGUAAAAUACUAUUUAUAUAUUUUUAAAUGUAUUUAAAACCAAGCAUAGCGGGUGUUUAUUGGUAUAUGAAUGUCUUAGAUCAGAACUUGAGAACGGUACGCAGUAACGCGAGUGUCGACUCUAUAUCGUGUAAAAGAUACAGCGUUAAGUUUGUAGGUGCGUAGCCUACGUUUAAUAUUUAAUGUGAAUGAUUGUAAUUUACUUCAGUUACAUUUGUGUGCCUAAUGUGUUCGUAUCUACGGGUACCGUUGUUUCCCCCUCUUGUGUUUUCGACGAUUUUACAAUCAACGACAGUGGUUGUU